Non-coding RNA from Syntrophobotulus glycolicus DSM 8271, 118 nucleotides. NCBI's taxonomy places the organism in Bacteria, Bacillati, Bacillota, Clostridia, Eubacteriales, Desulfitobacteriaceae. The record is from Rfam.
AAAGCCAAGUAGAAGCCAUCCGCUUCUCACCUCAUGGCGGCAGCUUUAUGAGGUAAGUGGGUUUUUGCUCAUUAUUGUAGUAAGGAAGACGGGUGGAAGUCCGUCUUUUUAUUUUUGC